This 474-nucleotide ribosomal RNA is filed under the name uncultured bacterium. Its description in RNAcentral is "SSU rRNA". It matches the Rfam family "Bacterial small subunit ribosomal RNA", at positions 26 to 518 of the family's 1533-position model. The record is from RNAcentral.
AGGACGAACGCUGGCGGCGUGCUUAACACAUGCAAGUCGAGCGGAAAGGCCCUUCGGGGUACUCGAGCGGCGAACGGGUGAGUAACACGUGAGCAACCUGCCCUUAGCUUCGGGAUAGCUCCGGGAAACCGGAAUUAAUACCGGAUAUGACUAUGGCCGACAUCAGCCAUGGUGGAAAGUUUUUCGGCUAGGGAUGGACUCGCGGCCUAUCAGCUAGUUGGUGAGGUAACGGCUCACCAAGGCGACGACGGGUAGCCGGGCCUGAGAGGGCGACCGGCCACACUGGGACUGAGACACGGCCCAGACUCCUACGGGAGGCAGCAGUGGGGAAUAUUGCGCAAUGGGCGAAAGCCUGACGCAGCGACGCCGCGUGGGGGAUGAAUGCCUUCGGGUUGUAAACCCCUUUCAGCAGGGACGAAGCGAAAGUGACGGUACCUGCAGAAGAAGCGCCGGCUAACACGUGCCAGCAGCCGC